UACGGAGGGGGCAAGCGUUGUUCGGAUUUACUGGGCGUAAAGGGUCCGUAGGCGGUUGUGUAAGUCUGGUGUGAAAUCUUCGCCGCUUAACGGGAAGCAGCCACUGGAAACUGCAUAACUUGAGUCUGGUAGAGGCAAGCGGAAUUCCUGGUGUAGCGGUGGAAUGUGUAGAUAUCAGGAAGAACAUCUGUGGCGAAGGCGACUACCUGGACCAGCACUGACACUGAGGCACGAAAGCGUGGGGAGCAAACAGG
RNAcentral lists this ribosomal RNA (254 nucleotides) under uncultured bacterium. Its description in RNAcentral is "partial 16S ribosomal RNA". It matches the Rfam family "Bacterial small subunit ribosomal RNA", at positions 524 to 776 of the family's 1533-position model. The record is from RNAcentral.